GCGGGACCGGGUGCAGCGGCUGCAGAACGAGCUGAUCCGGAAAAACGACCGCGAGAAGGAGCUGGUGCUGCUCCAGCGGCGCCACCAGCAGCAGCAGCUGGCACUGAGCGGGUGCCAGCACAGGGCGGCCAAGGCCGGGGCGCUGGAGCGGGCGCUGCGGCAGCAGGAGAAGGUGAUCGAGGCCAUGGAGCGGCUGCUGCGGGAAAGGAGCACCGAGAGAGCCAUGGGUGCCACUGUGGCGGCACUGCUGGCCCAGACGCGGGAGGAGCCAGCCGGACCCCCCCGGGCCGCGGUGAGAGCGGGAGGGGACACGGGGCUGGCACAGGGGACAGAACCGGGCACGGCACCGCGGGUGGCAGCGGUGCCAGAGGUGACCCCGACGCGCUCCUGCCGUGCCCGCAGCGGCUCCUGGGGGCCACCGAGAAGCUGGAGCUGCUGGCCCGGCUGGAGGAGGCGCAGGGCCGGGCCCGGGUGCUGGAGAGGCAGCUGCAGGAGGCCGCCCGGAGCUGGGCCCGGGAGCAGCAGGAGCUGGGGAUGCGCCUGCGGGAGCGGGAGCACGGCCUGGCCCUGGUGAGCGUGGGGGACAGGGGGGACACCAGUGUCCCCAGUGACCCCAGUGUCCCCAAUGUCCCCAGUGACCUACAGUGACCUACAGUGACCCCCACGACCCCAGUGUCCUACAGGGACCUACAGUGACCCCGUGACCCCAAUGUCCCCAGUGACCCACAGCAUCCCCAGUGACCCCCAGUGUCCCCAGUUUCCCCAGUGCCCCCGAUGUCCCCAGUGUCCU
This 790-nucleotide long non-coding RNA is filed under the name Taeniopygia guttata (zebra finch). Its description in RNAcentral is "lncRNA (ENSTGUG00000021582.1)". Lineage: Eukaryota; Metazoa; Chordata; Aves; Passeriformes; Estrildidae. The record is from RNAcentral.